RNAcentral lists this unclassified non-coding RNA (106 nucleotides) under Chryseobacterium taeanense. Its description in RNAcentral is "Flavo-1 RNA". The record is from RNAcentral. Lineage: Bacteria; Pseudomonadati; Bacteroidota; Flavobacteriia; Flavobacteriales; Weeksellaceae.
UCCUAGCCCUGAUCGCAGCAUUUGUUUGAGCUCAUUUUAGGAUUUCGGCGGCGGCAAAGCCGCCGCCGAAAUCCUAAAAUAGCGAGUGCGGAGAGCAGGAAACAGC